GGAGAAGGACAACAAUGAAGAUGA
This 24-nucleotide non-coding RNA is filed under the name Arabidopsis thaliana (thale cress). Lineage: Eukaryota; Viridiplantae; Streptophyta; Magnoliopsida; Brassicales; Brassicaceae. The record is from RNAcentral.